This is a long non-coding RNA of Homo sapiens (human), 3809 nucleotides long. RefSeq lists it as uncharacterized. The record is from RefSeq and is a predicted model, not a curated record. The transcript has 2 exons. Lineage: Eukaryota; Metazoa; Chordata; Mammalia; Primates; Hominidae.
GUUAACGUGUACCAUGGUGGUUUGCUGCACAGAUCAGCCCAUCACCUAGGUAUUAGGCCCAGCAUCCACUAGCUAUUCUUCCUGAUGCUCUCCCUCACCCUACCCCCCUAUUUUUCCAUCUUCUGAUAUGGCUGUUCACCUUACACAAAAAUAGCUGCUGUAGCUGUGUGCCAUAUUGCUGCUAGUUAAUUUUGUCAUUUGGUUUCUACUGAGCACAGAUUUUCUAUCACUGAGCACAGAUUCAUGCAGAAUUAAUGGAUAUCCUGAAAGGUAAGUGGAGAGAAUUAAGAGAAAUUAUCUGUACUCCAUGCUCAUGUACGAAACCGUUUGGCUCUUCUAUUUAACUAUAUAGUCAGAAUGGCAAACCUCCCAUUUCCCAUUGAGGAUACAUGGCAUGUGAAGGCUAGAAUUUCAGACCUUCAUCUUUGUGACACUUCCAUAGACUGGUACCUGGUGACCUUUGUCCCUUCUUGGAAACUGCCUUUGUGAUGUACCUGCCCUUGUCAUGUCCCUUGAUUCUGACCUCUACUACCACCACCAACACCACCAUCCAUCAGAACUAUCCCUUAAUGUACCUGAAAUAACUCAAUAAGUAACACCAACCUUCCUCGAGUUUUAUGACCACUUGUCACUAAACUUUUGUGUGACCACCUGUUUUAAAGUACAUCUGCAUCAUUGAUCAGCAGUUGCAGAGACUGGGUGGUGAUGAGGGCAAGUGUGAAUGCAGAAGAUGGGUCUGGAGGCCACUGCAAAAAUCAAGACUAGAGAUCAUGGUGACUGGGACUAGGUUUGUGAUAUUAGGGAUGAAGUAAUGUAAACCAAUAUGGGGUGUAUUUGGAAGUUUAAUUAAAAGUUCUCACUUAUGAAUUGGAUUUGGAGUGAGGAAAGAGAAAUGAAUCAAAGAUUAGCCCCUUAGUUUUGUCUUGAAUUACUAGGUAGGUGUUGAUGCAAAAAUGACAGGGGGAAGAUUGUAAGAGGAGAUGGCUUUUUGCAGAGGUGAGAAAUUAAGACUGCUGCUCUGGAUUUGUUACAUUUAAAUGCUAAGUGAAGAUUUCAAAUACACUGUUGGCUAUGGGAAUCUGUCUUUGGACAUAGAGAUUUCAUAGUGAAUGACGUAUUGACAUGUGAGAUUACCUAGGAAAGUAAUUAGAGUAGAGAGUACAGGACUGAGUCCUAAAGCAUCUCAGUACUGAGAGUUUGAGCACAAUGGGUAGAGCCAACAAAGAAGAUUAUGAAGACUGCCGGAGAGAUACAGGCAGAAAAACAGGGAAGUAUGGUGCCCCAGAGGUCAGAAGAAGCAAGUACUUCAUGAAGAAGUGGUUGCCCAGCUGUGAUGAACAUCAGGGAAGAUGAAAACAAAGAAGUGAAUAAUGGAUUGGCAAUCAAGAUGGCCUCGACCAUAUAAUUCUCUGUGGCCAGUAUUGUGAACACUAAUCUCCUGUGGCUCUUUAAGUUUAAAUUUACAUUAAUUCAGAUUAAAUAAAAUUAAAAACUCUUCAGUCAUAUUAGGCAUAUUUCAAAUGCUCAGUAGCCACAUGGGCGUAGUGGCUGCCAUAUGGGACAGCACAGAAAGAGGGCAUUUCCAUCAUGCAGAAAGUUCUGUUGGGGAGUACUGUGGAUGGGAAGUACAGGCCCUGAAUGGGCACAUCCUCCUCUGUCCUGACAGACUCCUCAUUCUGUGGUGAGGGGUAUGGCCAGAGGCAGACCAGAGCAGGGCCCUCGAUGGCAUUGGGUCCAGUGUUCCUGAUUUAAAGAGGAUGAUUAUCAAAAGUCUUUUCUUUUAUUGAAUGUAAGUGUUUUUUUCUGUAGUGACACCUAUGGGAGAUUCAGGACACUGGAGAAUGUGAUUGUGAGGGCUUGGGUUGUCUGGGAAAAUGGUAUUUUGUGGGCCGUAUUUGCGCUAGCCUAAAGAUGAAUAAGAUUCAGAUCCACAACAGGGUAUUGAUAUGUCCUUCAGCUGAGAAAAGAGAAGAAUAUAGGUACAGUUGCAUUUUAGACAAACAACACAUUCAAUCCUCAGAACAACUUUAGGAGGGCAGGUACUGUUAAUAUCUUCCUUCCAGAUGAGAAAGAGUUCCAUCUUAUUUCGAGACAUAAUAUUGAUAGGUAAACUGAGGUUUUAUUCUGUUAGCUUUUUGGAAACUAAGUAGGGGAGUUAAAGUUUUCACAUAGUGGUCAAAAAAAAUGUUUCUGUUUUUCCCAACUGCGUUAAAUUCGGAGAAGGUACCUCAGAAAGGCAGGCUGAUCAGCUUUCUCCAGAUAACUUCUAUCUAUAAUUAAGUUGACUGCCACUCCAUUUUAUCAGAGUUCAUGGCAGAAUAGCUACUCAGUGUGGAACAGAAAUAUGGUUUAUCUCACACAAUGUCAUAUCACCCUAAAUUUAACUUCCAACAAAAGUUAAUGCUUUUUUAAAAUAUGAGUUAAUUAUUUUAUCAACUAUCUACUAGAGGCAAAUGCCCUACCUUUUGUCAUGUUGUUCUUUACAGUUAAACUAUGUACAUGCCUGUUUGUCACACUGGGUUAUAAGCUCCUUGAAGCAAAGAUGGAUGUAUCUUUGCUUUACCGUGGAGUGCUCUCCCCAAAGCUUUGCAAAUAAUUAGACAUGUAAUAGAAAUAGCUUGGAUUGAAUUAACUACCAUGUUAACUGCUGCUGAAAUCAGGUUCAGGUCAGCAGUAUCCCCCAUCUAUUUUCCUUUUGUGCUUGAUCUUAGGGGGUUCUUCCCUGUCACAUCUCUUCAGUUUACCAAAGAGAAAAAGAAAAAUCCCUAACCACGUGCUACCUUGAUUGGAUGUCGUGUCGUUUAUGUAAGGCAGGUUACCAGUUUGGCAAGGACAUUUAAAUUUAUCGUCUGACUUCUGCAGUACUGUGCCACGCAUUCCUAAGGCUUGUAUGAUAACUGGUACUUCAACAAAGAGAAACUUGUGAGGCUGAUUCAAUCACUCAUUUUUUUCUCAUGCAAAUAACUGUUUUUGUUUUUAAAGAGUUUAUUGCUAUUCUCAUUGAAGUUGCUUUUUAAUAAAAGGAUGUACAGUAAUGCAUGAUCUUUUAUUUAAUAGCCACCAACAAACUUCAGAAUGUAUUUUAAAAAGAGGGGGACAAUAUAAUAUUGAUUUUAAUGAUAGUAAUUAUUUGGAGAAGAAAUUCUGAAUUUAGCAGUCCUCCUCACAAUGAUUAGAUUAGUACAUUUUGCAUUUGGGGAUGAUUAUUUAAAUUUAACAGAAGACGAUUUACAAAGACAGUACUAUAACAAUACAAUGAACAGGAAAAUGAAGAAAGAGUAUGACUCCUGAGUAAGACCCUUUUGCCUGAACAUGAGAUGGUUCCCUAAAUCGCCCUAUACAUGAGGCUGCUGUUUAUUUCCUUCCAUAAUUUGCUUUAAAAUAUGUUAAUGAUAAAUUCUGUUGGUGUACAAUACAUUGUAUUGCUUCUGGUUUGAAAUAUUCGUAAUUCUUUUGUAAUGUUUUUAAGAUGAUAUCAAAACAUUAGAAGCAUUCAUUUUGGAUUUUAUCAUUGGCUCUUAUGGAUCAAAUAUUAUAAUUUUUAUUUAAAUCACCGUUUAAUCGUGGCAUAUGAUUACUUAUGUGUUCUUUUGUUGGUAAUACAAAAAUCCAAAGUCUAUAAAAAUCAAAUUCUGUAGUUGACAUUUCUCAUGCAGCCUGUUUUUGAAACGGAAGUGUUACAUAUCAGUGAUUUUAAAACUCUUUACAUGUUUAUUCACUAAAUACAUUGACUUGCUUUUAAAUUCAGAAUUAUUUACUUCCUUAAAUCUAUAUACACUUUGUGUAAUAAAUUAAAAUCUAAGUACAAA